This 781-nucleotide ribosomal RNA is filed under the name uncultured bacterium. Its description in RNAcentral is "bacterial SSU rRNA". It matches the Rfam family "Bacterial small subunit ribosomal RNA", at positions 62 to 842 of the family's 1533-position model. The record is from RNAcentral.
UCGACGGCAGCGCGGGGCAACCUGGCGGCGAGUGGCGAACGGGUGAGUAAUAUAUCGGAACGUACCCUGGAGUGGGGGAUAACGUAGCGAAAGUUACGCUAAUACCGCAUACGAUCUAAGGAUGAAAGUGGGGGAUCGCAAGACCUCAUGCUCCUGGAGCGGCCGAUAUCUGAUUAGCUAGUUGGCGGGGUAAAAGCCCACCAAGGCAACGAUCAGUAGCUGGUCUGAGAGGACGACCAGCCACACUGGAACUGAGACACGGUCCAGACUCCUACGGGAGGCAGCAGUGGGGAAUUUUGGACAAUGGGCGCAAGCCUGAUCCAGCAAUGCCGCGUGAGUGAAGAAGGCCUUCGGGUUGUAAAGCUCUUUUGUCAGGGAAGAAACGGUGGGGGCUAAUAUCCUCCGCUAAUGACGGUACCUGAAGAAUAAGCACCGGCUAACUACGUGCCAGCAGCCGCGGUAAUACGUAGGGUGCAAGCGUUAAUCGGAAUUACUGGGCGUAAAGCGUGCGCAGGCGGUUUUGUAAGUCUGUCGUGAAAUCCCCGGGCUCAACCUGGGAAUUGCGAUGGAGACUGCAAGGCUAGAGUUUGGCAGAGGAGGGUAGAAUUCCACGUGUAGCAGUGAAAUGCGUAGAUAUGUGGAGGAACACCGAUGGCGAAGGCAGCCCCCUGGGUCAAAACUGACGCUCAUGCACGAAAGCGUGGGGAGCAAACAGGAUUAGAUACCCUGGUAGUCCACGCCCUAAACGAUGUCUACUAGUUGUCGGGUCUUAAUUGACUUG